Molecule: ribosomal RNA, 461 nt
Filed under: uncultured bacterium
Lineage: Bacteria
Description: partial 16S ribosomal RNA
Rfam family: Bacterial small subunit ribosomal RNA
Source: RNAcentral
CUACGGGUUGCUGCAGUCGAGAAUCUUCCGCAAUGGACGAAAGUCUGACGGAGCGACGCCGCGUGCGGGAUGAAGGCCUUCGGGUUGUAAACCGCUGUCAGUGGGGAGGAAAUGCAUCAGGGUUCUCCCUGGUGUUUGACUGAUCCGCAGAGGAAGCGCAGGCUAAGUUCGUGCCAGCAGCCGCGGUAACACGAACUGCGCGAACGUUAUUCGGAAUCACUGGGCUUAAAGAGUUCGUAGGCGGCCUUUCAAGUCGGGUGUGAAAUCCCUCGGCUCAACCGAGGAAUUGCGCCUGAUACUGUUGGGCUUGAGGGGGAUAGGGGUGAGCGGAACUGAUGGUGGAGCGGUGAAAUGCGUUGAUAUCAUCAGGAACACCGGUGGCGAAGGCGGCUCACUGGAUCUCUUCUGACGCUGAGGAACGAAAGCUAGGGGAGCGAACGGGAUUAGAUACCCUUGUAGUC